AUGAUACAAUCCCAUCAAGAACCAUAUCUUCUAAAAGACCAACCUUUCCAGCUUAACACCAACCUGAAAAAUGACACACAAGUUUUGAGUUCAUAAACCAAAAGCUUCUUCAAAAAAUAAAAUUGCAGAUACGAGAUAAACAAUGGGAUGUAAAACAUGUAACAUUGCCAAAUUUCAAAACAAACGAUUUGUCGACGAAUUUUAAGACGAGAUUAAUCUUUCAUGUGGGAUUAUAAACAAGCUUAGUAAAUCUGGAUCAUCCAUUUUAUUCGAAACUAAAACGAAUUAGACGAUCCAACAGAAGAAAACUCAAAACAUGACGCAAAAUAAAUAAAAAGAAACGGAUCGAAUCAGGAAAAGAGAUAACGAACCUUCGGGUGAGAGAGAAAGA
Arabidopsis thaliana (thale cress) is the source of this 391-nucleotide long non-coding RNA. RefSeq annotates it as other RNA. Lineage: Eukaryota; Viridiplantae; Streptophyta; Magnoliopsida; Brassicales; Brassicaceae. The transcript has a single exon. The record is from RefSeq.